UUUAAAAAUUACAUAUAUGGUUCCCGGUACAGAUUCCUAUUGGACAACACUGAGGGAGAAUACAAGUCUUGAUUCUCAACCUAGUGUUCUCUACAUUCUAUUUUGAAAGGGAGAAUGUCAAAAGAAGUGGUCUUUGUGUCCAUGUUCUGGUGAUUGUCUGAACCUAGAAGUGUUAAGUGAAGGAGACUUGCUUCUGAAACCUUUCUGAUGUGACCAACAUCACAUUUGUAAGAAUCACCAAGUUGGAAUCACGUUUUUGGCACUAAUUCCCAGGUUAAGUCUCUGUGUCGUACAUAUGAUAUCUCAUGAUGACGGCUGGACCAGACCCCUGAUACUUUGCCUUGAAGACCUUUACUUAAUAGAUUCUAUGCCCAGUGUAGAGCUCAAUGCAGGGCUUGGACUCACGACCCUGAGAUCAACACCUGAGCUGAGAUCAAGUCAGUUGCUUAACUGGAGAGAGAGCACAUACAUCAGGGGAAGAGCAGGAGGAGAAGGAGAGGGAGAAUCACCAGGAGAUGCUGCACUGAGCUCAGAGCCCAACACGGGGACUUGAUCCCAGGACCCUGAGAUCAUAACCUGAGUUGAAAUCAAGAGUUAAAUGCUCAACUAACUGAGCCACCCAGAAAGAGACAGACACAUAGGGAGGAGAAUGCCAUGCGAAGUCGGAGACCAGAUUGGAAGGACUGUGAGCAGCCACCGGAAGCUGGGCGAGGCAUGGGACAGAUUCUCCUCAGGCUUCCACAAGGAACCUGCCAACGUCUUGAUUUCGGUCACAGAGAGACAGAGAGAGAGGGAGAGGCAGAGACACAGGCAGAGGGAGAAGCAGGCUCCAUGCACCGGGAGCCCGACGUGGGAUUCGAUCCUGGGUCUCCAGGAUCGCGCCCUGGGCCAAAGGCAGGCGCUAAACCGCUGCGCCACCCAGGGAUCCCGGUUUCCUCAUCUUUCAAGUGGAGAUCAUAGCAGAAAGCAGUCUAACCAAUACCCUUGAUUUACUAUGAUGGAGCUGAAUCCAUAGGAUUUAUUUAUUCAUGAGAGUCACAGAGACAUAGGCAGAAGGAGAAAGAAGCAGACCUUCUGUGGGAAGCCUGAUGUGGAACCCGAUCCCAGGACCUCGGGAUCACGCUCUGAGCCGAAGACAGAACUCAACCACUGAGCCACCCAAGUGUCCCCCAUUUUGACUGUUUUUAAAUGCACAAUCAGUGGUGUUAAGUUGUAUAACCUAUCCACAGAGCCCUUCUUGUUUUAUGAAACUGAAACUAUGUAUCUAUUAAAUAAUAACUCCCCGGCCCUUCCUCCCCUUGGCCCCUGGCACCCACGAUUGUAUAUUCUCUCAGAAUUUGACUACUCUCAAAGAUAUCCUGUAGGUGGGAUCAAACAGUAUUUGUCUUUUUGUGCCUGGCCUAUCUCAGUUAACUUCAAGUACUUGAGGCUCACACAUGUUGUAGCCUGGGUCAGAAUUUCCUUUCUUUUUAACGCUGAAUACUAUUCCACUGUAUGGAUAGACCACAUUUUGCUUAUCCAUUCAUCUUUUGAUAGACAUGUGGGUUGCUUCUACCUUUUGGUUGUGAAUAAUGUUGCUCUGAACAUGGGUGUGCAAAUAUC
Nyctereutes procyonoides (raccoon dog) is the source of this 1602-nucleotide long non-coding RNA. RefSeq lists it as uncharacterized. The record is from RefSeq and is a predicted model, not a curated record. NCBI's taxonomy places the organism in Eukaryota, Metazoa, Chordata, Mammalia, Carnivora, Canidae. The transcript has 8 exons.